CCUACGGGUGGCAGCAGUGAGGAAUAUUGGUCAAUGGACGAGAGUCUGAACCAGCCAAGUAGCGUGAAGGAUGACUGCCCUAUGGGUUGUAAACUUCUUUUAUAUGGGAAUAAAAUGUUCCACGUGUGGGAUUUUGUAUGUACCAUAUGAAUAAGGAUCGGCUAACUCCGUGCCAGCAGCCGCGGUAAUACGGAGGAUCCGAGCGUUAUCCGGAUUUAUUGGGUUUAAGGGGAGCGUAGGUGGAUUGUUAAGUCAGUUGUGAAAGUUUGCGGCUCAACCGUAAAAUUGCAAUUGAAACUGGCAGGCUUGAGUACAGUAGAGGUGGGCGGAAUUCGUGGUGUAGCGGUGAAAUGCUUAGAUAUCACGAAGAACUCCGAUUGCGAAGGCAGCUCACUGGACUGCAACUGACACUGAGGCUCGAAAGUGUGGGUAUCAAACAGGAUUAGAUACCCCGGUAGUC
Molecule: ribosomal RNA, 460 nt
Filed under: uncultured bacterium
Lineage: Bacteria
Description: partial 16S ribosomal RNA
Rfam family: Bacterial small subunit ribosomal RNA
Source: RNAcentral